ACUAGCUUUUUAAUAGGAAAGGGUGUCCUACUACCUUGACAUUAUCUCUUUUCCAGACAAAUAACUUUUCUCUCGAACAAGUCAGAUGUUAGACUGGCGUUGGUCUAUGCGUCUUCUUUUCUAGACAAAUAACCUUUCUCUCGAACAGGUUAGAUGUUAGAAUGGCGUGUUCUUGUGUUUGAACCGCAAAGAAUGUAGAUUUAAGAUGAAGAGAAUAAUGAUAUAAGCAAUAUACUUGUCUUGAACUCACAAACUCAUAGCUAUAGAUAGUAACUCAUUCGGCUUCCAUAACCCCAACUAAGAGAUUUAGUUACCCAUGAAUGCGAAGGAUAUCACGUUUUGCAUGGUGGAUGGCGUGAAUAGUAGGUGUUUGGCGUGUGGUUUUAGUGAUUCCGUAGCAAGUAACGAUUCUCUUGUUGUGGAAUUUAAGAGUAGAAGAAUGAAGAAUUGAGAAUGGGUUGUAGGAAGAUGUCUUAAUUGUAAGG
This 485-nucleotide long non-coding RNA is filed under the name Capsicum annuum. RNAcentral's name for it is "long non-coding RNA (CANN_LNC007972)". Lineage: Eukaryota; Viridiplantae; Streptophyta; Magnoliopsida; Solanales; Solanaceae. The record is from RNAcentral.